RNAcentral lists this transfer RNA (72 nucleotides) under Anaerolineae bacterium. RNAcentral's name for it is "tRNA-Asn". It matches the Rfam family "tRNA". From Rfam's summary of the family: Transfer RNA (tRNA) molecules are approximately 80 nucleotides in length. Their secondary structure includes four short double-helical elements and three loops (D, anti-codon, and T loops). Further hydrogen bonds mediate the characteristic L-shaped molecular structure. tRNAs have two regions of fundamental functional importance: the anti-codon, which is responsible for specific mRNA codon recognition, and the 3' end, to which the tRNAs corresponding amino acid is attached (by aminoacyl-tRNA synthetases). tRNAs cope with the degeneracy of the genetic code in two manners: having more than one tRNA (with a specific anti-codon) for a particular amino acid; and 'wobble' base-pairing, i.e. permitting non-standard base-pairing at the 3rd anti-codon position. Lineage: Bacteria; Bacillati; Chloroflexota; Anaerolineae. The record is from RNAcentral.
UCCUCGGUAGCUCAAUGGCAGAGCGGUCGGCUGUUAACCGAUAGGUUGGAGGUUCGAAUCCUCCCCGAGGAG